GUGGGGAAUAUUGGGCAAUGGGCGAAAGCCUGACCCAGCAACGCCGCGUGAAGGAAGAAGGUUUUCGGAUCGUAAACUUCUAUCCUUGGUGAAGAUAAUGACGGUAGCCAAGAAGGAAGCCCCGGCUAACUACGUGCCAGCAGCCGCGGUAAUACGUAGGGGGCAAGCGUUUUCCGGAAUGAUUGGGCGGAAAGGGCGCGUAGGCGGCACGGUAAGUCUGAAGUGAAAGUCCUGCUGUUAAGGUGUGAAUUGCUUUGGAUACUGUCGGGCUUGAGUGCAGGAUAGGUAAGCGGAAUUCCCGGUGUAGCGGUGAAAUGCGUAGAGAUCGGGAGGAACACCAGUGGCGAAGGCGGCUUACUGGACUGUAACUGACGCUGAGGCGCGAAAGUGUGGGGAGCAAACAGGAUUAGAAACCCCUGUAGUCC
Molecule: ribosomal RNA, 425 nt
Filed under: uncultured bacterium
Lineage: Bacteria
Description: partial 16S ribosomal RNA
Rfam family: Bacterial small subunit ribosomal RNA
Source: RNAcentral